Triticum aestivum (bread wheat) is the source of this 3953-nucleotide long non-coding RNA. RefSeq lists it as uncharacterized. The transcript is spliced from 9 exons. The record is from RefSeq and is a predicted model, not a curated record. Lineage: Eukaryota; Viridiplantae; Streptophyta; Magnoliopsida; Poales; Poaceae.
CUCAAUCUCGAUCUGUUUCAUCUCAGCCUCUAGCCCCGAGAGGAGCCGCCGCCGCCGCCGAGAGGAGACGCCCCAGCCCCAAGAGGAGCCGUCGCCGCCGCCAAGAGGAGAUGCCCCAGCCCCAAGAGGAGCCACCGCCUCCGCCGCCGCCGCCGAGAGGAGAUGCCUCAGCCCCGAGAGGAGCCGCCGCCGCCUCCGGGGAACGAGGCCGCCGCCGUCACGCACCGCCUCCUCCAGGUCACCGCCGUCACACACUGCCUCAGGUCCGUUGAUCUCUCUCCUCCUCGCCACUCCUCACUGCCAGCCCCGCACUGUGCCGGUGAGCGGCGACGGCGGCGUGGGACGCAGCGGGCCCGAACUGCGUCGACGGAGGCCGGGUCCCUCUCCUCCGUCGAGUAGUGGUGACAGCAUGGGACAUGGCGGGCUAGGCUUGCAUCGUCGGCGGCGGGGUCCAUCUCCUCCCGCGAGCAGCAGCGGCGUGGGACACUGCAGGCUCGGCCGCGAAGAUGGGUUUCUCUGGCGGGGCAUUCGACUCCUCACCUCUGUUCGCAUGUGCACCUGCGGCCGUACCUCCUCAUGGUCAGUGAUGCAGAUGCCGCCGCUGCCGUUCCUCACACAGCUGAGGACGCGGAAGCCGCUGCUCCUCUAAGCGACGGUGAGACACACGACCAUGUGAACACCCCAGGGAGGCACACUGGUAGGGGAUGCACCAUGUAGCGUGUGGAUUCCCACCAAAUGUUCGAUGAGUUACCCUAAUUGAUCUUUCUAUAUACCUAGCCCUCUCUGUUUCAGUCUCUCUCUACUCUUAUUUUGUUUCAGUUUUUUGCGAGAUUUAACACUGACAUUUGUUCAAAUCCUAUCUAGGUAACAACUCCAGAGGAAUCAGUAUGUUGUUGUGUUUCUAUAUGUUCUUGCAGGGGCAUUGCUUUAAUUUGAGAAGGCUCUAUAUAACAUGGGAAAUAGUUACUACUGAAGAAAUCAUUUCUGCAACACUCGAUUUUGAGUCUGCACUUGCUAAAAGAGAUUCACCCAAAUCAAUAUACUCCUGAUUGUUUGAUUGGUAUCGUCCUCUCGCAGAGAACCCCAAUUAGAUUCUUUUUACUUCCUAAUCUUCACAUUUUGCAUUUUAAUUAUUAUCCUAUAUGCACAGGAUCGUUGAAAAAUAAAAAUAUUAUUAAUGUCUACAUUGGAAAGGAUCCAAACUCUGAAUAAGUGAUUGGUGAAUAAUUUUUUAUCUAGGUUCAGAAGUUGAUAAUCCACUAUAGUUCUUUCAUUGUGCAGGCAAACUCAGGUACGAUGAAACGGGUUUCUUUUGCUUCUGCCGUCACAUUGGUGAAUAUGACUUUGAAUCUCAACUGCACUUGACUGCACCUUCUAUCUUGAUUUGCUUGACAACUUAUAAUUUGCACAAGCAUUCCCCUGCAUAGUUUGUCCAUGGUCUGAAAGAACAAUUCCUGAUGAUAUAUUCCGAAUUAGGUUGUUGCCUGGAUCCUAUGGACAAUAUGUACGGUCACAAUGUCGAUAUCUGUUACCAUCAAUUGACGACUUCAAAUUAUUCAAGAGUGUGCGAUACACAAGGAUGUGUUGGUUCAUGAUGGGUCGACCUUAAAAUCUUGACAAUUACCCUUGACACAACACAUGGGAUGUGCUCUAUCCUGCUUUUUUGGUCCAUUAUUUUAUAUAUGUUUUUCACCUCGGAGAGUUUAUUAAAGUUCAGCUGGGUUAUAACAAGAGAUGCAAAUAAAGAACUUUAUUAUGAUUUUUCAUAAAAUAAAUAUGUACUUCCAACUACCUUGAAAGUUAUCGAUUAUAUGCUUGAAUAAUCUCUACUCCUAAAGUUUUCUUCGAAGGUGCUCAUCACAUUUGUCGAUACACAAACACCCCACUUAUUGAUGGUUUACAGACCUUUAUCACAAGAUGGACGAGCUUGGCUUCUCAGUCAGUACUCUGCCUCAUCAACAGUUUGAUGUCCCUUGGCAUGAAGUUAGGCCAACAUCAGAAGAUUCGUAGCCUUUUUGAGGAGAUGAAGGUGAAGAAUAUUAAGCCGGAUAACCUCACAUGAUGCCUUCUAAUGACCAGCCAUGCGGCAUUGAACAAGAUAGAUGUUGGAGAAGUUUUAAAAGAAAUGCAAGAAAAGGAUGUAGUUCCAGGGUGGUCUGCAUAUAGCAUGGCUUCUAUCUACCUGAGUGCUGGUUUGGUUUAAAAAAACAGUCUACUCUGAAGGACUCGAGGGCCUUGAUUUUAGAAGGAGUUGUUAUGGACCAUCUGGUUUUCUUCAUGAAUCCACACCACCGGAAAUUCUAAUGGAGACCAUCCACCUGACGUCCUUCUUACGACAACCUCACAUGCUGCCUUCUAAUGACGAGCCACUACAUUUGGUUACUCAGAUUCUUCUACAUGGUGACUAUUGAUGCAAAAGGAUUGCACUUCCAUCUCAAUCACUGCAUUUGGUUACUCAGAUUGCAACGAAUUAUCUUUAUUUCAAUCAGCGCCACGACGACCGCUGCCUCCCCGCCGCCGACGCUCCAGAUCCGCCCGUCGUUGACCCCCUCUACAUCAGUGAUCGAUCAAGGCAGGGGCAUGGCGAUAUCCAUCUUUCCGCGUGUACGGUGGCCGGUGCCCGCGUCCGUGUAUCCUGCACCAAGGGUGUCGUAUUCAUCUCAAGGAGGUCCUCUCAGUCCUUCCCGGUGAUGAUGCCGAGUCGGGAUUCCUCCUCCCACAGAUCCGUUGAUCCAUGGUUAGAUCUCAAGGAGGAGGGGCGUGAGGCGAUUGCCACCGUCAGUGCCUGCACUGGAAGGUCUCCGGCGCCUGCUCCAACCAGAUCCAGCCGGACCCAUCCUGCGUCUGCCAUCCCAUUGCGAUAUGCGUGCUGCUCCUGUUGUGCACUUGCUGAUUAAGCCGCUGCUUGUGCAAAAUAUGCCUACUGCUACCCGGGCUCACAUGACCCAGAGGAGGAAGGAGCUGCGCAAGGAAUCACUGCCAGAAGACUCAAUACGAGUUUGAAGAGUCCUGGACUCUAGGCCAAGUUCCGCAAGGAAGCUAGCCGAGGGUUCAUUUUGACCCAACCAAGCAGCUUUGGCGAUCACGGAGGAGAACCCGCUGUUCCUAAUGGCCUGACGCACGGUCAAUCACAAGUCCUCCAACGGGUGGAGCUGGUUCAGGAUUUGACACAUCUCCACUUGCAAGGCUACAACCAGAUAUAGUCCUUAGAUUGAUUAAUUACACACACGUACACGGAAAUAUAUCACUUGAAAUGUGUGAUUUGCAUCGAGAAGAACAUCGAGAUAGGAUCAGAGCAUGUGCACUGCUUUAUAGUCUACAUCAACAAACCAUUGGCGAGCAUGUUGAGACCAUGAACCCACGUGGGACCUCCAAAGAACUUGAAAAUUACCGACAUUGCCAGCAAGGUUGCGGUGAAUUAAAGAGAUUUAAUCAAUCCAGAGAUGUUGUAAAUUGAUACAAUUGAACCACAUACUUGGAGAGACGAUGCCGUUGACUUCCGCAACGAUGAGCAAGGUGGCGAAUACCCGCUAGAGAGUGGAGAACUUCUAGCACCACUCGAUAGCCAGAUCAUCAACCAUGUAAGGUCCACUGGGUCCAGAUGUGCAAGGCAAACACGCAGAGGUCUUCGAGAGGCUUGUGCAGACGGAGCUUACAGCCAGAUCCAAGCGGAUACACCAUCCAUAGCUGGCCUAUGCUGGGUGGCGGCAUGUAUGAGCCUGAGCUUGACAUGAACGUGAGGGAUAGAUGAUUGACGAAGAACGACUUCGUUGUAUCCGUCGACGCCAUACCCCUUUCCAAAACAAACGACCUUCUCUUGUGUCCAUGAACUUUUGUUAGCGUUUAGUGAAUCAUGCAAUAGCUACAAGAUAGCUUGUUGGGGGAGUUUCCCCGGUGCUGGUGUUACUUGUAUGUACUUUGUGUCUGAAAUGGAUGGAUGGGUGUUGUACUUC